This is a non-coding RNA of Equus caballus (horse), 5302 nucleotides long. The record is from RefSeq and is a predicted model, not a curated record. Lineage: Eukaryota; Metazoa; Chordata; Mammalia; Perissodactyla; Equidae.
GACUCCAAUAUAUCCUAUUGCUUGCCAUUUCUAUUUGUCACCAGGAACUUCUGUGUGGCCAGGGUUGUGCUGAAUCUCACUGAAAAUAUAGGAGUUUGGACUUCUUUCUCUAGGUCAGAGGUGAGCAAGCUUUUUCUGUAAAGAGUCAGAGAGUAAAUACUUUAGGCUUGCAGACCGUAUGGCCUGUGUUGCAAAUACUCAGCUUUGCUGUUGUAACUUAAAGGCAGCCAUAGAGAACAUGUCAACCAAUGGGCACGACUGUAUCUAAUAAAACUUUAUUAUGGACCCUAAAAUUUAAAUUUUAUAUAAUUUUACAUGCCAUGAAAGGAAUCUUUUUACAUUUUCAAUCAUUUAAAAAUAUAAAAUCCAGAUGAUGUCAUCAAAAUGAUGACAUAGGAGACGCCAGCUUCCAUUCCCCGCCAAAGAUCAGUACUUAGACAGCUAUCCACUAACAUAAACAGCUCCAGGAGAGCUCUGGAGUCCACUUAAGAAACUGGCUGCACCCAGGCUUUCUUGGGGGACCCUGGAAAAGGCUGUGUUGGUCUAACUAUGUACACAUGGAGAUGGCAUGGGGGUGAGGGUGAGUAUUCAGCAGCCUAGAUGGGCAUUUGGCCAGUUCUUGUCUGAAGAGGAGCCCAGGUCAGGGGAACCUCUGAGUGCACCUCUGUCCACACCUCACCCAGAGUGGAGGGACCCAGGGCCACCUUUAUGCUGAGCUCGUGCUUAUGCAGUUCUGAAGUUAAUCCCUCCUUGGAUAAUUGGGAAACUGAGGCCCAUAGAGAGGCAGGAACUGGCCCAUGGCAUACAAUAUGCAGAAUCCAGAGGUAAGAGUGUGUUCUGACCUUCUAGGCCAAGGCUCAAACCUCUCGCAUAGGGUUUGCUUUGGGAAUUAGAAACCAUAAGGUCUGGGGAAGCUCUUGCGCAUCCCUCCCUCUGUGGGGGCUAUUUUCUUCUGGGCAUCCAGAACAUGAGCACUGUCACACACAUGCACACAGUGACAUUAGAUGUAGGGACUAUGGGGUGCGAUCAGAAGAGAAGUAGACAAAGGGGAGGUGAUAAGAGAGAGAAAAAAGAGGUUGGAAGCAUUACCUACGGGUGACACCACUCCUCCAAUUUUAUAGGUAUCAUCCCACACAGGCCUGAGGACAUCUCUAGGAAGCACAUGCUACAAUGAUCCUCACUGUGCAGACAGGAGGCAGACAGACCCUGAGAGGCACAAUGGCUUCUCCAGGAUCAGGAACAAGAUGAAAAUGGAUCAACGGUGAACAGGAACGAGACCCACAUGGUGUGGCCCAUCCAGGCCGGCACACUGGAGAGGCUGGGGGAGAGCCUGGUGCCCGCCUUCCUGCACAGCGACAGCACUUACACCCACAGCCUCCUGGGCACAUGCAGAGCUUUUGCCACCACCCAACAGGUGCUGGAGCUGCUGUUUAAAGGUAAGCACCCUGCCCCUGCACAGCACAGUGGGGAUUCGGCUGCCUGCUAGCUCAGAGUCUUCAGAAUGCAGCUCUCUGAGCCUCAGUUUGCUCCUCUGCACAGUGUGGCAAAUAGAGCUUCAACCUCAUGUGGAUAUUGUAGGGACUCACUGGGAUGCUCGUGGGAAGCACUCUGUGGGGCUGGCCCUGGGGACAGGUCUGCUGCAGGGGCUGUGGUUGUACUAAUUAGUCAUUUUCGUCUUCUACAUAAUGAAGCCUCUGCCUCAUCCAUCAUUGUCCCCGUGGCCUUGGGCUGAGCUGUUUUCCCAUUUGAAAAGGAGAUUUGAGAUUCCAUCUAGGGGUCCCUGUCCUGGGUGAAGCCAGAGCAGAGAUCCCUGGGGAUGAGAAGGAGGGCCCUCGGCCCACUCAGACAUCUGUGAUGGGGCUGGUUGGAGCUCAUUCAUUCAUCAUAUAGAGAUGAGGCCCCACUAGGUGCAGGCAGUUUUCUAGGCACUGACCAUAGUCCAGUGCACAGAGCAGACACAGCCCUGCCCUCCAGGGCUCCAUUCUAGUUGGGAGUCACACAGUCACACUAGACUUCUCAGGAGCUACUGUCCACAGUAAAGUCGAUGUGAUCCCUCCUGCCUCCUCUAGAUAUGGAUGCAUCCUCCCUUCUUCUGAUGAGGUUGGCGGACCUCUGCACCAGUUGAAGUGUGAGUGGGCUUUGGAUCAAGUAGGAGGGCCGCCCUGCUCCACACUGAGGGGAGUGCAGGACCCGUGAAUUGAGGGUGCUGGCAGAACCCAGAAUCUCAAAUCUUGUGAUUCCUGUGAGAAGGCAAAGGUCUGACGGCUUCCCCUAGAAAAGAAAAAAACCAGUCAAGGAGAGCUGUGCCUGGGGUUUUGAGUGCUGUGGGAGAGCAGAGGGAGCUGGAGGAUGGACUUGGUCCCCAUGAGAAUCCAUGCCUGUCCCCUCGCCAUCCCAGUCCUGUCUCCACCACCAUCCUGGAACUUGGAACAGGAGGUGUGGGGAGCAUCCUGCUUCCUAAUCUCAUAGAACCUCAGCACUGGGUGCUCAGCCUCUGCUCAGGCGACUCAGUGAGUGCUCAGGGGCCAAAUGACUCCCUCCUUAUUAGAGAUUAAUGUCAGGGGAUGCUGACCCACAUGGGGCACCUAGUGAAUCAGGCAGCAUGUAGGCACAGGAGCUAAGGUUUGAGGUAUGAGGAGGGCCCUGGGAAGCCUGGGCAGGAGACAAAGUCCAUUAUUCCCUCAUCAGUCAGAUAUUCACAAAGCCCCUACUGUGUGCCAGUGAGUGCAAUGAACAGAGCAGACUCCACUGCUCCCUGCCCUCAUGGAGCUGACAUCCCAGGGAGGAGGGAGCAGGGAGACAGACAGAGGACUGUGUCAGGCUUCCCUGAAAAGGGGGAAAGGUGGUCACACCAUUGAUGAAGGCAUCUCAUUUACGAAGGCUUUUUGCCAGCCCUUCCUUAGUGACCAGGUCUGUCUCUGCCAGGACUGCCAGAUUGGAAGUGGACAGGAGGAGGAUUGGCCUCGGAAAGCCAGGAGCACGAGGCAUAGGAGCCCGGGCUCCUGCGGGGGUGCCCUGGGAAGGCAAUGUGGAAGGAAAGGCCAAGCCUCUGACUCUGCUGCCCACCUGCCUAUCCCCAGGGCCAUAGCCUCUAUCCUGGGCACUUGGCUGGAUCAGUACUGUGAAGAUUAUUUCCAGCCCCCAGAAUCCCUCUGCCUGAAGAUGCUGUUGGCCUAUGUGCUGGUCAACAUGCCCAGGCUUGGACCUGGAGUGCCAUGCCCACCUUCUCCUGGCACAGCUGGAGCACCUUGAGCCCACUGAGGUGGAAACUGAAGCACCAGCUCCAGAGCAAGAUCAAGAACCACCUCAAGACCUAGUGCCAGCUCAAACUAUGGUGACAGCUCCAGCUCCAGCUCCAGAAUGAGAGCAGACUAGAGCCACAGCUCCUGUUCAAGCUGAAGAGUUAUGCCAGUUCCACAUAAAGAGCCAGAGCAGCCACAGGCAACUGCUCUCAUUUAAGCUAAAGAAUUAAGCAACUACAUCAGCUUCAGCUUUAGAAUCAGAGCAUGCUCAAGCCACAGCUUUAAUUUAGGCUCAAGAGCUAGAAGGAGAAACUGCACCAGCUUCAACUUCUCUCAAGUGCAGAUUCAAACCAUAGCUCUCCUUCAAGGUAAAGCCCUGGAACCACCACCUGCACCAUCUCUGGCGUCAGAGGAAGAGCAGGCCCAAGCUAGAGCUCUCAUUCAGUUUCAAGAACUAAAACAAACACAUAUUUCUAGACCUGGAGCAGGCUCAAACUAGAGCUCUCAUUCAAGUUGAAGAGUUAGAACAACUUCCUGCACCAUCUGCAGCUUCAGUGCGAGAGCAGCUCCAGCCAGAGCUCAAGUAAGCUCAAGAGCUGGAACAAGCACUUACCAUCAUGAGUUCCAUGGAGCCGAUGACAUAGGGUGGGAGGUGGGCCAGGGCGGCGCUCAAAGCUGUGGGUGGGAGCAGUGCAAGAAGUACAUACUGGUGUGUUUGCAUGGCAUGCCAGCCGAGCAGACUUCAUGUAGUGGAGGUUGGAGUUAUGCAGACUGUCCCAGUGUUCUCUGUUUGGUAUUCAAAUUAAGAGGGUACUUAGUACCUCCAUGGCCUUCAAAAACAUCACAUCCAAAAUAACUGCUGGGCUUAAAUGAUGGCUUGGAGCUGCCUCAGAGCCAAGAGGAGAAGCUGGCCCUGCCUGCCCCUUCCACCCCAACCUGGGUGAAACUUCAGGGACUGGACUGCUUUCCCUGGGCACUUCUCCCCUUCCCAGCUCUUCCUCUUUCUUCUGUUUGUGGAGGAGGGGAGAUGGUUCUGAAGAAAUGAACAAACAAUACAAAAAAUUUAAUGGAACCCUGCUCUCUCUAUGAGAACAAGCCCAUGUUAGCCUGCUAGAGAACAAGAUACCAUGGAGGAGAACCAAGGUGCCCAGUCGAUGGCCAGCCAACCCACAGAAGCAGAGCCCCAACCACACACCCACGAAGAAGGCCAGUGGAGAUCAGAAUGGCCCAGCUGAACCAAGCCUAAACUGCUGAGCAGCUCAAUCAUGAGCUAAGUAAAUUUUGGGGUUAUUUGCUACACAGCAAUAGCUAAUUAACAUGUGCACUCAUUGCAGAGGAGACGCCAGGAUUCAAUACAUGCUCAUUUAGGGUGCUACCAGGCAAACGGUAGCACCCUAAAGAUCCUGAUGUCCUUUUCUCCUUAUUUAAAGCUGGAUCUCUUGAGUUACACAGAAAGACAUGCAGACAUGCGCUUGGUGCGUAAACGCACACAGGACCCCACACCAUAGGAGGAAAUAGAAACCACAGCCUGACCACUAGGGCCCAACGUCAGAUUUCAAAAUAAGGAGUUUGCCUUUAAUUUAUUCCCCCAAAUCUGAACUCUGGAGGCAAGACUGUGGACAGAUCUGAAGACGUGGGGUUCCCCCCGUUAGGGUCUCUCCUUCCUGUCACUCCUGUCUGAUCUCUGGGAAGUGGACGGGCUCAGACCAAGCAGCAGCUUGGAAGCACAGGUCUACCUGUGGAAACAUCCUGUUUGCAGCCCUCUGCUCUUUCUUGGGGUAUCGUCUCUCCGCACCUUGGGCCUGUGGAGAGAUGCUGUAGGGAGGGGGUGUUCUGUCGCCUCUGGCACACAAGGGGGUUCAGGUACCUCACUGCCCUGAGGUCAGAGGAGUCACAGUCCCGAGAGCUGCACUCUGCAUGUGGCAGCCACUCCCACCUGUGGGCCCUGAGCCUGGGAUGGGGUCUGUCUGAACUGAGAUGUGCCAGACAAGCAAGCCACAGAGCAAAUUCUCAAGAUUUAAGUACAAAAAAAUGAAUGUAAAAUAUUUUAUUAGUUUAUA